GUGCCAGCAGCCGCGGUAAUACGUAGGGGGCAAGCGUUGUCCGGAUUUAUUGGGCGUAAAGAGCGUGUAGGCGGUUAGGUAGGUCCGUUGUGAAAACUCGAGGCUCAACCUCGAGACGCCGAUGGAAACCAUCUGACUAGAGUCCGGAAGAGGAGAGUGGAAUUCCUGGUGUAGCGGUGAAAUGCGCAGAUAUCAGGAAGAACACCCGUGGCUAAGGCGGCUCUCUAGUACGUGACUGACGCUGAGACGCGAAAGCGUGGGGAGCGAACAGGAUUAGAAACCCCCGUAGUCC
This 292-nucleotide ribosomal RNA is filed under the name uncultured bacterium. Its description in RNAcentral is "partial 16S ribosomal RNA". It matches the Rfam family "Bacterial small subunit ribosomal RNA", at positions 505 to 796 of the family's 1533-position model. The record is from RNAcentral.